GGUCGAUCCGAGAGGGAGCUGAGAAACGCUACCACAUCUAAGAAGGCAGCAGGCGCGCAAAUUACCCAAUCUGACACAGGGAGGUAGUGACAAGAAAUAACAAUACAGGGCAUCCAUGUCUUGUAAUUGGAAUGAGUAGAAUUUAAAUCCCUUUACGAGUAUCAAUUGGAGGGCAAGUCUGGUGCCAGCAGCCGCGGUAAUUCCAGCUCCAAUAGCGUAUAUUAAAGUUGUUGCGGUUAAAAAGCUCGUAGUUGGAUUUCUGCCGAGGACGACCGGUCCGCCCUCUGGGUGAGUAUCUGGCUCGACCUGGGCAUCCUUCCAGAGAAUGUGUCUGCUCUUGACUGAGUGGUACAGUAUCUGGAACUUUUACUUUGAGGAAAUUAGAGUGUUUCAAGCAGGCGCACGCCUUGAAUACAUUAGCAUGGAAUAAUAAGAUAGGACCUCGGUUCUAUUUUGUUGGUUUCUAGAGCUGAGGUAAUGAUUAAUAGGGAUAGUUGGGGGCAUUCGUAUUUAACUGUCAGAGGUGAAAUUCUUAGACCAGCGGAAGACGAACCACUGCGAAAGCAUUUGCCAGGGAUGUUUUCACUGAUCAAGAACGAAAGUUAGGGGAUCGAAGACGAUCAGAUACCGUCGUAGUCUUAACCAUAAACCAUGCCGACUAGGGAUUGGAGGAUGUUCCUAUGUGACUCCUUCAGCACCUUUCGGGAAACUAAAGUCUUUGGGUUCCGGGGGGAGUAUGGUCGCAAGGCUGAAACUUAAAGGAAUUGACGGAAGGGCACCACCAGGAGUGGAGCCUGCGGCUUAAUUUGACUCAACACGCA
RNAcentral lists this ribosomal RNA (821 nucleotides) under uncultured eukaryote. RNAcentral describes it as "SSU rRNA". It matches the Rfam family "Eukaryotic small subunit ribosomal RNA", at positions 375 to 1209 of the family's 1831-position model. The record is from RNAcentral.